RNAcentral lists this ribosomal RNA (254 nucleotides) under uncultured bacterium. RNAcentral describes it as "partial 16S ribosomal RNA". It matches the Rfam family "Bacterial small subunit ribosomal RNA", at positions 524 to 776 of the family's 1533-position model. The record is from RNAcentral.
UACAGAGGUCCCGAGCGUUGUUCGGAUUCACUGGGCGUAAAGGGUGCGUAGGUGGUUGUGCAAGUCUGAUGUGAAAUCUCCGGGCUUAACCCGGAAAUGGCAUUCGAUACUGCUGUGGCUAGAGUCCAGUAGGGGAGCGUGGAAUUCCCAGUGUAGCGGUGAAAUGCGCAGAUAUUGGGAGGAACACCAGUGGCGAAGGCGGCGCUCUGGGCUGGAACUGACGCUGAGGAGCGAAAGCGUGGGGAGCGAACAGG